RNAcentral lists this transfer RNA (72 nucleotides) under Ictidomys tridecemlineatus (thirteen-lined ground squirrel). RNAcentral describes it as "Spermophilus tridecemlineatus (thirteen-lined ground squirrel) tRNA". It matches the Rfam family "tRNA". From Rfam's summary of the family: Transfer RNA (tRNA) molecules are approximately 80 nucleotides in length. Their secondary structure includes four short double-helical elements and three loops (D, anti-codon, and T loops). Further hydrogen bonds mediate the characteristic L-shaped molecular structure. tRNAs have two regions of fundamental functional importance: the anti-codon, which is responsible for specific mRNA codon recognition, and the 3' end, to which the tRNAs corresponding amino acid is attached (by aminoacyl-tRNA synthetases). tRNAs cope with the degeneracy of the genetic code in two manners: having more than one tRNA (with a specific anti-codon) for a particular amino acid; and 'wobble' base-pairing, i.e. permitting non-standard base-pairing at the 3rd anti-codon position. Lineage: Eukaryota; Metazoa; Chordata; Mammalia; Rodentia; Sciuridae. The record is from Rfam by way of RNAcentral.
GGGGUUGUGGCUCAGAGGUAGAGCACUCGCCUAACAUGUGUGAGGCACUGGGUUCGAUCCUCAGCAUCACAU